UACGUAGGGGGCAAGCGUUGUCCGGAUUUAUUGGGCGUAAAGAGCGUGUAGGCGGCUUUGCAAGUCCAUUGUGAAAACUCGAGGCUCAACCUCGAGACGCCGGUGGAAACUGCAAAGCUAGAGUCCGGAAGAGGAGAGUGGAAUUCCUGGUGUAGCGGUGAAAUGCGCAGAUAUCAGGAGGAACACCGGUGGCGAAGGCGGUCUCUGGGCGAUUACCUGACG
RNAcentral lists this ribosomal RNA (222 nucleotides) under uncultured bacterium. Its description in RNAcentral is "partial 16S ribosomal RNA". It matches the Rfam family "Bacterial small subunit ribosomal RNA", at positions 524 to 745 of the family's 1533-position model. The record is from RNAcentral.